This 254-nucleotide ribosomal RNA is filed under the name uncultured bacterium. RNAcentral describes it as "partial 16S ribosomal RNA". It matches the Rfam family "Bacterial small subunit ribosomal RNA", at positions 524 to 776 of the family's 1533-position model. The record is from RNAcentral.
UACGGGGGGAGCAAGCGUUGUUCGGAUUUACUGGGCGUAAAGGGCGCGUAGGCGGCCUCCGCAAGUCAGUUGUGAAAUCUCCGAGCUUAACUCGGAAAGGUCAACUGAUACUGCGGGGCUAGAGUGCGGAAGGGGCAACUGGAAUUCUUGGUGUAGCGGUGAAAUGCGUAGAUAUCAAGAGGAACACCUGAGGUGAAGACGGGUUGCUGGGCUGACACUGACGCUGAGGCGCGAAAGCCAGGGGAGCAAACGGG